UACGUAGGGUGCAAGCGUUGUCCGGAAUUAUUGGGCGUAAAGAGCUCGUAGGCGGUUUGUCGCGUCUAUCGUGAAAACUGGAGGCUCAACCUUCAGCUUGCGGUGGAUACGGGCAGACUUGAGUUCGGUAGGGGAGACUGGAAUUCCUGGUGUAGCGGUGAAAUGCGCAGAUAUCAGGAGGAACACCGGUGGCGAAGGCGGGUCUCUGGGCCGAUACUGACGCUGAGGAGCGAAAGCGUGGGGAGCGAACAGG
This 253-nucleotide ribosomal RNA is filed under the name uncultured bacterium. Its description in RNAcentral is "partial 16S ribosomal RNA". It matches the Rfam family "Bacterial small subunit ribosomal RNA", at positions 524 to 776 of the family's 1533-position model. The record is from RNAcentral.